GAUGAACGCUGGCGGCGUGCUUAACACAUGCAAGUCGAACGGUGAAGGCGGAGCUUGCUCUGCUGGAUCAGUGGCGAACGGGUGAGUGACACGUGAGCAAUCUGCCCCUGACUCUGGGAUAAGCGCUGGAAACGGCGUCUAAUACUGGAUACGAGCUGCGAAGGCAUCUUCAGCAGCUGGAAAGAAUUUCGGUCAGGGAUGAGCUCGCGGCCUAUCAGCUUGUUGGUGAGGUAAUGGCUCACCAAGGCGUCGACGGGUAGCCGGCCUGAGAGGGUGACCGGCCACACUGGGACUGAGACACGGCCCAGACUCCUACGGGAGGCAGCAGUGGGGAAUAUUGCACAAUGGGCGAAAGCCUGAUGCAGCAACGCCGCGUGAGGGACGACGGCCUUCGGGUUGUAAACCUCUUUUAGCAGGGAAGAAGCGAAAGUGACGGUACCUGCAGAAAAAGCGCCGGCUAACUACGUG
Molecule: ribosomal RNA, 468 nt
Filed under: uncultured bacterium
Lineage: Bacteria
Description: partial 16S ribosomal RNA
Rfam family: Bacterial small subunit ribosomal RNA
Source: RNAcentral